Molecule: long non-coding RNA, 2338 nt
Filed under: Sorghum bicolor (sorghum)
Lineage: Eukaryota; Viridiplantae; Streptophyta; Magnoliopsida; Poales; Poaceae
Description: long non-coding RNA (SBIC_LNC009640)
Source: RNAcentral
AUGUAAGAAGGGAGAACAGCAUUUCUAAUGCAUGUCUCAGACUACCAGUGCAUGUAAAGGACAUGUAACUCGAACUUGUCUAUUUAUAUAUAGGGCAUCUCGUAUUGAAAUCCAUACAUUAACAGCAGUAUGUGAGUGAGACCGAUAGGGAUGUUUUAGCAAAUUAAUGGGAAUGUUGUUAUAUUAUUGAAUUUGACAAAUUAGAGGGAAACAAGACAAAUGUUUGAUUAUACAAUGUGACUGCUUUUUAUUGAUUGAUAGGAUGUUUGUGUUGAUUAUUUAUAACGAUGAUGGGGCUUGGAUCACCAUCAUAUAUCUAUAGUUCUAUGUGCUUGGGAUUUGCUCGACUAUCACCAAAUGAGUGUAUAUUGUGAUAGAUCUGACCAUAUGCUUCAAAGGUGAGUGUAUAUUGUGAUCGAUCUGACCAUAUAUGCUCCGAAGGUGUAAGUACCAGUGUUUUGGACGUUGAUCGUGUCUCCGUCUAGUGGAAUCAUUGCUCCAAAGCCUCAUGAAUUGACUUGUCUCUGUUUUGGCUAGUUGGUCUUUCCCUUUUUGCAACAUAAGUCUUCUAACUCAUACACUAUUUUUUUUAAUUGCAAAAUGUGAAAUUUUCUACAGUUUUGUUUUGGCUAGUUUGGUCUUUCCCUUUUUGCAACAUAAGCCUAGACUCAUACACUAUUUUUUUUCAUUGCAAAAAUGUGAAAUUUUCUACAGUUUUCAGCAUGUGAGUCUUUCUUUGGUAUGUUGCUAUAGACGAUCUCAUACUGGUAGAUGUUUGAAUCCUCAGUGGUUGUUUCCUCGUCGUUUAUGAUUUCAAUUUCCUAUGUCCCACUUUGUUUUAAGUUAUAGAAAUAAAAUUCAGCAAAGUGUACUAAUAAUAUAGUCUGCAAAUAUAUUUUUUUAUUUAGCAUACCUUGAGCAAAGAACAUAUAUUCAUCCUAGUUGGUGUCUUGUUCAAACAUCACUCCAUCAUUGUCUGCAAAGUAAUGUUUUGUAUUUAUAUUAGUUCUUCUAUUUCAUAAGAUCGAGCAUAAAUAAUAACUUGAUAAACUUACCAUGAUCUCCACUAUAGGCUAAUCCUGGUGCAUUUUGUCUUUGGUGGCUGGACACAUUAUAUUGAAGAGGGAUUGGUUGUUCAAGAAACAUGGCUUCUUGAUGUUGUAGAUGUACCAUGUCAUUGUCCCCAUCUUUCAUUUUGGAUGUGUCCUCUUCUGAUGAUAUUGUAACAUUUGUCAUCUAUCUCGAUGUAAAUUCUUCAUUUUGAGGGUCUAGCUCUUGCGGUGUUUGUUAGAUGUCCUAACUUCUAGUUUUGUUUCGAUAUAUACAGGGUUCUCCAUAGCGAUUGAAUCUUUGGUUUUUGUGCUGCGCUUCAGUUAUUUGUUAUAUAUAAUUUGUUCUAUUCUAGAUUUCUUUUUUCUGGAUGCAUCUUUUGUUUUUUUUUCUCUUUUGUUUUUUCUGUUUUUCUGCAUAUUUCUUGUUUCCUUCAACACUUUUUGGGGUCUGUGUUGAAUCCUUCAACACUUUUAGGCAUUAUGGCAUCUUUUUAAUUUUUCUUGCUUUUUCUCCAUCUGUCAUCCUUGGCAGCCUGCACAGGACUUUCUGUGCAAAAUGAAUUAUCUGCAUGAGAGUUAUGUAAUGUGUGAAUCUACUGUUAAUCUACUGUACUAACCUAGAUUCAUAUCUUCUUGUUCUUGUUCAUCCACAGCAUCAAUGUGUAAGUCAAAAGGAAAUAUAGGUUUUGUUGGCCAUGUUUCUCCGUGCCAUCUCGUGUAUGUACAUCGUUUUUAUUUAGAGUCCAAACAAAAAUCCAACCAAUUAUUCUCCCUUCUAGUACCGGAUCCUCUGUGGCCACACCUCUGCAUGCCAGCGGAAGCGUGAGCGAGGCGGCGCGCGAGGCCAUUGCGUCUGUGCGAGCUCUCCACGGUGGCUCCUAGGCAACGGCUGCGCUCUCCACGCAAGGCUCUGCGGCAGGGCUCUCCAUGCCAGCACGCGAGCUCCCGCCGGCAAAUUCACCGGCAAGGCGACUGCGGGAGGCUCUUACGGGAAGGGAUGGCGGUUUUGCGAGCGAUACUUGCCUUGCCAACUAAGGCGACCUAAAACUAUUGUCUGACCGAAGCAAAGAAAACUAUUUUUAGCACAUAUAUUUUAUUAUAAUAGACAGUGCUUUUUCUCACGCUUUGUUUAGUUUGUAAAAAGAAAAGUUUUUGGAUAUGUUGUAUAUUUGUAACUAUAGAAAUUAGUGACUAAUCAUGUACUAAUUAAGCUUAAAGGUUCGUCUCGUAAAAUAUAUGCAAACUAUAUAAUUAAUUAUUUUUUAAAUUGAUAUUUAAUGCUUCAU